AGUGAACGCUGGCGGUAGGCCUAACACAUGCAAGUCGAACGGCAGCACAGUAAGAGCUUGCUCUUACGGGUGGCGAGUGGCGGACGGGUGAGGAAUACAUCGGAAUCUACUUUUUCGUGGGGGAUAACGUAGGGAAACUUACGCUAAUACCGCAUACGACCUACGGGUGAAAGCAGGGGAUCUUCGGACCUUGCGCGAUUGAAUGAGCCGAUGUCGGAUUAGCUAGUUGGCGGGGUAAAGGCCCACCAAGGCGACGAUCCGUAGCUGGUCUGAGAGGAUGAUCAGCCACACGGGAAGUGAGACACGGGGCAGACUGCUACGGGAGGCAGCAGUGGGGAAUAUUGGAGAAUGGGCGGAAGCCUGAUCCAGCCAUACCGCGUGGGUGAAGAAGGCCUUCGGGUUGUAAAGCCCUUUUGUUGGGAAAGAAAAGCAGCAGGUUAAUACCCCGCUGUUCUGACGGUACCCAAAGAAUAAGCACCGGCUAACUUCGUG
RNAcentral lists this ribosomal RNA (492 nucleotides) under uncultured bacterium. Its description in RNAcentral is "partial 16S ribosomal RNA". It matches the Rfam family "Bacterial small subunit ribosomal RNA", at positions 29 to 507 of the family's 1533-position model. The record is from RNAcentral.